RNAcentral lists this ribosomal RNA (175 nucleotides) under Brachoria n. sp. Farley. RNAcentral describes it as "partial small subunit ribosomal RNA gene". The record is from RNAcentral. Lineage: Eukaryota; Metazoa; Arthropoda; Diplopoda; Polydesmida; Xystodesmidae.
GGAAAUACGGAUUAGGACCAGGAUUGGUUUUUGGAAGGUGGAUUUGUAAGUAAUUAUUUUUUAUAGGAUUAAUAAGUGAAGGGUGGAAUAACAUGUGUACAUAUUGCCCGUCGCUCUCGUUAUUUUUGAGAUAAGUCGUAACAUAGUUGAUGAACUGGAAAGUGUAUCUUUUUGA